GACGGACGCUGGCGGCGUGCUUAACACAUGCAAGUCGAACGGUAAGGCCCUUCGGGGUACACGAGUGGCGAACGGGUGAGUAACACGUGGGUGAUCUGCCCUGCACUUCGGGAUAAGCCUGGGAAACUGGGUCUAAUACCGGAUAGGACCACUGCCUGCAUGGGUGGUGGUGGAAAGCUUUUGCGGUGUGGGAUGGGCCCGCGGCCUAUCAGCUUGUUGGUGGGGUGAUGGCCUACCAAGGGGACGACGGGUAGCCGGCCUGAGAGGGUGAACGGCCACAAUGGGACUGAGAGACGGCCCAGACUCCGACGGGGGGCAGCAGUGGGGAAUAUUGCACAAGGGGAGCAAGCCUGAUGCAGCGACGCCGCGUGAGGGAUGACGGCCUUCGGGGUGUAAACCUCUUUCAGCACCGACGAAGCGCAAGUGACGGUAGGUGCAGAAGAAGGACCGGCCAACUACGUGCCAGCCGCCGCAGUAA
This 478-nucleotide ribosomal RNA is filed under the name uncultured bacterium. Its description in RNAcentral is "partial 16S ribosomal RNA". It matches the Rfam family "Bacterial small subunit ribosomal RNA", at positions 28 to 523 of the family's 1533-position model. The record is from RNAcentral.